CAGAUAGCAAUGUGCAUAGAACCUUUUCUGAUGUGGAAGCUUUACAGGAAAUUAGAAGUAUGUCAUCUAAUAUACAGCCAAUACCUCAUCAACCUUACCAUUCUUCUGAAGAUGAAUUUGAACCGCAACGAGCUACAAGUUUACCACUAUUGUUUUCAGAUGUGAUACCUUUUGAGGAAGAAACAGAUAUGGCA
Long non-coding RNA from Callorhinchus milii (elephant shark), 194 nucleotides. RefSeq lists it as uncharacterized. NCBI's taxonomy places the organism in Eukaryota, Metazoa, Chordata, Chondrichthyes, Chimaeriformes, Callorhinchidae. The record is from RefSeq and is a predicted model, not a curated record. The transcript has 5 exons.